GACGAACGCUGGCGGCGUGCCUAAUACAUGCAAGUUGAGCGCUGAAGGUUGGUACUUGUACCAACUGGAUGAGCAGCGAACGGGUGAGUAACGCGUGGGGAAUCUGCCUUUGAGCGGGGGACAACAUUUGGGAACGAAUGCUAAUACCGCAUAAAAACUUUAAACACAAGUUUUAAGUUUGAAAGAUGCAAUUGCAUCACUCAAAGAUGAUCCCGCGUUGUAUUAGCUAGUUGGUGAGGUAAAGGCUCACCAAGGCGAUGAUACAUAGCCGACCUGAGAGGGUGAUCGGCCACAUUGGGACUGAGACACGGCCCAAACUCCUACGGGAGGCAGCAGUAGGGAAUCUUCGGCAAUGGACGAAAGUCUGACCGAGCAACGCCGCGUGAGUGAAGAAGGUUGUCGGAUCGUAAAACUCUGUUGGUAGAGAAGAACGUUGGUGAGAGUGGAGAGCUCAUCAAGUGACGGUAACUACCCAGAAAGGGACGGCUAACUACGUG
Molecule: ribosomal RNA, 497 nt
Filed under: uncultured bacterium
Lineage: Bacteria
Description: partial 16S ribosomal RNA
Rfam family: Bacterial small subunit ribosomal RNA
Source: RNAcentral